CUGUCUUAGAUUAAAAACACAACAUUUAAACUACACACACGCAAGCGCACAUUUUAAUUACAAAAUUAUUUUUAUUAGAAUGUGUUCUACAAGAUGCAGUUCCAUAUUUCACAUAUCAAUAGUUUUCAUUUUAUAUCCUGCAUCGAUUUCAUUUUCAUUUGUGACAAUUUCUCUAAACUUUAUCACAGUACUACUAUGGUACAACCUACAAACAAAAAACUUUCCUAAAUGUUGAAGUGUUGAAGUCUUUAUUAACUAAAAUCUCUGAAUAUAAUUUACUCAAUAGUUUGAGUUGAACAUACCGAAAUAAAUGACUAAAACUCCAACAAUUAAUUUUGUCUGAAAUUUACAGUUAUAUUUAAGUUUUUCACUAAAAUAGGCUAAUUUAGUUUUUGACUAACCAAUUAUUAAUUUAAAAUACACUUAGCUAAUAUUUGUGAAAUUUCCAUCACAAUAUUUGAGACUGGAUAAUUAAACUGAUCUGUCUCAAGAACCACAAAUAUUUCUAAAAUAAAAUCAAUAUUAUUAUUUAACACGCAUAAGAAAUUAAUUAAGUUUACUCAAUUAAAAUGUAUUUUACUGUCUAUGAUUACAACAACGCACCCCUCCCCACCCUCUGACGUGACGACAACUCAACGGUUGAACUUGAGUGAGCGCUGUUUGAACUUGCGGUUGCGCGUUGUUUGAACUCUCCCAGUCCAGAAAAGAACAGAUCUCUUCUCUUCUCCUCUUCUCUUCUCAUCGGCGCAGAAUUGGAGCAUUUCCACCUGAAAUUAAGGUUAUGGAGUCAGUCGCGUCGCAGCAUUUUUCGGCUGUGAGUGACGCAGGACGGCGGUCUAAAUUUAGAAGUUUCCCCGCAGAGGCGAGUCCAUCUCCGGCAUGGGAACCAGCGCUGACCCGGUGAAUACUGGAUAACAGACCGGUUAUUACACUUGAAUUACUUUAAUGUUUAGGCCUAAAUGUUUAAUUUUUACAUCGAAAAUGUUUCUUACAUGAGUUUAGAUGUAGUCAAUAUUGUAUAACUUAUGUGUUAAAAAUAGAAUAAAAUAUGUUUGCUGUAAUGUUAGGAUAUUAAUUGACAAUAAAGGCCGUGUCAUGUAGUUAUGCUGGUGGUUGUAUGGAAUAUUUUACAAAGGUUUAGAGGAAAUAAAAAAAGUUAAUAUUACUGCCAUAUAAACACAGUUUAUAUUACUCAUAAUUAUUUGUUUUUAAAUGUUUCCCCCCAAUUAUUUCUACUCAAGUUUAUUUGUUAAUGUACCAAAUGCAGUUACUCAGAUCUAUUUAAUUUGUUUUACUAACAUUUACUCAGUUAAUAUAGUGUAAGUAAUUGCUUUCACUGCUUAAAAAUUUAAUCAAUAUUCUAAGUUUAAAAAGGUUAGUAAAUCAUAUUAAAUGUUUUUGAGUGCAUCAACACCAGAGUUCAUGUCACAUACUAAAACAUAUUCGAGCCAAUUUUAAUCACUGUUCUAGAAACAUAUUUGAUUCAACUUUGUUCAUUUGCAAUAAUAUGUUGUUGUUUUUUUAUGAAUUUUUUUCUUCUGCUGAACAAGAAGAAAGAUAUUUAUUUGGUACCGGUUUUGACAUUUUCUCACUAAAUAAAUUAUUGCGAUUUAAACAUGUAACGUUAUGUUUGUUGUUUUUAUUUAUAAUUGUAACGUUAGUUACAUAGUUUUAAGAAAUGGGUUAGGGUAGGAUUAGUGGCUCAAACUAUAUUUUAAUGCUUUAUUGUUAAUAAAACUGCCAUUGCCCUACACAUUAUG
Molecule: long non-coding RNA, 1760 nt
Organism: Pimephales promelas (fathead minnow)
Lineage: Eukaryota; Metazoa; Chordata; Actinopteri; Cypriniformes; Leuciscidae
Source: RefSeq, a predicted model, not a curated record